UACGUAGGGGGCUAGCGUUGUCCGGAUUUAUUGGGCGUAAAGAGCGUGUAGGCGGCCAGGUAGGUCUGCUGUGAAAACUCGAGGCUCAACCUCGAGACGUCGGCGGAAACCAUCUGGCUAGAGUCCGGAAGAGGAGAGUGGAAUUCCUGGUGUAGCGGUGAAAUGCGCAGAUAUCAGGAAGAACCCCCGUGGCGAAGGCGGCUCUCUGGGACGGUACUGACGCUGAGACGCGAAAGCGUGGGGAGCGAACAGG
RNAcentral lists this ribosomal RNA (253 nucleotides) under uncultured bacterium. RNAcentral's name for it is "partial 16S ribosomal RNA". It matches the Rfam family "Bacterial small subunit ribosomal RNA", at positions 524 to 776 of the family's 1533-position model. The record is from RNAcentral.